This 521-nucleotide ribosomal RNA is filed under the name uncultured bacterium. Its description in RNAcentral is "bacterial SSU rRNA". It matches the Rfam family "Bacterial small subunit ribosomal RNA", at positions 28 to 526 of the family's 1533-position model. The record is from RNAcentral.
AAUGAACGCUGGCGGCGUGCUUAACACAUGCAAGUCGAGCGAGAAAGCUCCCUUCGGGGAGUGAGUAAAGCGGCGAACGGGUGAGUAACACGUGGGUAACCUGCCUGGGAGCGGGGGAUAACCUGGGGAAACUCGGGCUAAUACCGCAUACGCUCCUCGAGCCUCGGCUCGAGGAGGAAAGCUUGCCUCUGCGUGCAAGCUGGCACUCCCAGAGGGGCCCGCGCCCGAUUAGCUUGUUGGUGGGGUAACGGCCCACCAAGGCUGCGAUCGGUAGCCGGCCUGAGAGGGUGAUCGGCCACACUGGGACUGAGACACGGCCCAGACUCCUACGGGAGGCAGCAGUGGGGAAUAUUGGACAAUGGGGGAAACCCUGAUCCAGCAACGCCGCGUGGAGGACGAAGGCUUUCGGGUCGUAAACUCCUGUCAGAUGGGACGAAAUGCCACCGGUGAAUAUCCGGUGGAGCUGACGGUACCAUCAGAGGAAGCCCCGGCUAACUCCGUGCCAGCCGCCGCGGUAAAAC